Molecule: ribosomal RNA, 490 nt
Filed under: uncultured bacterium
Lineage: Bacteria
Description: partial 16S ribosomal RNA
Rfam family: Bacterial small subunit ribosomal RNA
Source: RNAcentral
AUUGAACGCUGGCGGCAGGCCUAACACAUGCAAGUCGAACGGUAACAGGAAACAGCUUGCUGUUUCGCUGACGAGUGGCGGACGGGUGAGUAAUGUCUGGGAAACUGCCUGAUGGAGGGGGAUAACUACUGGAAACGGUAGCUAAUACCGCAUAACGUCGCAAGACCAAAGAGGGGGACCUUCGGGCCUCUUGCCAUCGGAUUUGCCCAGAUGGGAUUAGCUAGUAGGUGGGGUAACGGCUCACCUAGGCGACGAUCCCUAGCUGGUCUGAGAGGAUGACCAGCCACACUGGAACUGAGACACGGUCCAGACUCCUACGGGAGGCAGCAGUGGGGAAUAUUGCACAAUGGGCGCAAGCCUGAUGCAGCCAUGCCGCGUGUAUGAAGAAGGCCUUCGGGUUGUAAAGUACUUUCAGCGGGGAGGAAGGGAGUAAAGUUAAUACCUUUACUCAUUGACGUUACCCGCAGAAGAAGCACCGGCUAACUCCGUG